UACGUAGGGUGCAAGCGUUAAUCGGAAUUACUGGGCGUAAAGCGUGCGCAGGCGGUUUGUAAGUCUGUCGUGAAAUCCCCGGGCUCAACCUGGGAAUUGCGAUGGAGACUGCAAGGCUAGAAUCUGGCAGAGGGGGGUAGAAUUCCACGUGUGAGCAGUGAAAUGCGUAGAGAUGUGGAGGAACACCGAUGGCGAAGGCAGCCCCUGGGUCAAGAU
RNAcentral lists this ribosomal RNA (216 nucleotides) under uncultured bacterium. RNAcentral's name for it is "partial 16S ribosomal RNA". It matches the Rfam family "Bacterial small subunit ribosomal RNA", at positions 524 to 740 of the family's 1533-position model. The record is from RNAcentral.